Long non-coding RNA from Mauremys reevesii (Reeves's turtle), 399 nucleotides. RefSeq lists it as uncharacterized. Lineage: Eukaryota; Metazoa; Chordata; Testudines; Geoemydidae. The transcript has 4 exons. The record is from RefSeq and is a predicted model, not a curated record.
CAUUUGCUUGUUCUUGCAUGUGCAGACACAAGAUGCAAUUAUGAGGUUAGAACUAUCCUGAGCUCCAGUGUAAAUGUAUCACCUGCAUCUUGAAACUGGCAUUCUACAACAAAAUGAAAGAUAAAAGCUUAUUCACCGUCAGAAUUAUGAGAAUGGCUGCGGUGGCUUCUGAAACAUAGAAGACAUAGGUAUGUCAGCACUACAAUGGAAGCCCACAUGCUAGCCAAGAGUCACUGCUGACUGCGGAGCUGGGGUGCAUGGUCCCUUUGGGGGCAUGUAGGGCUUCCCCAGGUGACCUAGCCAGGUGGAAUCACUGCAGGGAUCUCACCGAGUGAACAGGAGCAGGGCUGGCCCUAGAUCAAAUGGUGCCUCAGGCGAAGAGUGUCUUCGGCACCUCCC